GACGAACGCUGGCGGCGUGCUUAACACAUGCAAGUCGAACGCUGAAGCUUGGUGCUUGCACUGGGUGGAUGAGUGGCGAACGGGUGAGUAAUACGUGAGUAACCUGCCCUUGACUCUGGGAUAAGCCUGGGAAACUGGGUCUAAUACUGGAUACGACAUGUCACCGCAUGGUGGCGUGUGGAAAGGGUUUUACUGGUUUUGGAUGGGCUCACGGCCUAUCAGCUUGUUGGUGGGGUAAUGGCUCACCAAGGCGACGACGGGUAGCCGGCCUGGGAGGGUGACCGGCCACACUGGGACUGAGACACGGCCCAGACUCCUACGGGAGGCAGCAGUGGGGAAUAUUGCACAAUGGGCGAAAGGCUGAUGCAGCGACGCCGCGUGAGGGAUGACGGCCUUCGGGUUGUAAACCUCUUUCAGCACGGAAGAAGCGAAAGUGACGGUACGUGCAGAAGAAGCGCCGGCUAACUACGUGCCAGCAGCCGCCGUAA
This 488-nucleotide ribosomal RNA is filed under the name uncultured bacterium. RNAcentral describes it as "partial 16S ribosomal RNA". It matches the Rfam family "Bacterial small subunit ribosomal RNA", at positions 28 to 523 of the family's 1533-position model. The record is from RNAcentral.